UGGGGUAUCGCCAAGCGGUAAGGCCGCGGCUUUUGGUGCCGCUAUUCGGGGGUUCGAAUCCCUCUACCCCAUCCA
This 75-nucleotide transfer RNA is filed under the name Sulfurimonas sp. RNAcentral's name for it is "tRNA-Gln". It matches the Rfam family "tRNA". From Rfam's summary of the family: Transfer RNA (tRNA) molecules are approximately 80 nucleotides in length. Their secondary structure includes four short double-helical elements and three loops (D, anti-codon, and T loops). Lineage: Bacteria; Pseudomonadati; Campylobacterota; Epsilonproteobacteria; Campylobacterales; Sulfurimonadaceae. The record is from RNAcentral. RNAcentral also lists the same sequence under 4 other names.